This 2786-nucleotide ribosomal RNA is filed under the name Escherichia coli. RNAcentral describes it as "bacterial LSU rRNA". It matches the Rfam family "Bacterial large subunit ribosomal RNA". The record is from RNAcentral. Lineage: Bacteria; Pseudomonadati; Pseudomonadota; Gammaproteobacteria; Enterobacterales; Enterobacteriaceae.
AGCGUACACGGUGGAUGCCCUGGCAGUCAGAGGCGAUGAAGGACGUGCUAAUCUGCGAUAAGCGUCGGUAAGGUGAUAUGAACCGUUAUAACCGGCGAUUUCCGAAUGGGGAAACCCAGUGUGAUUCGUCACACUAUCAUUAACUGAAUCCAUAGGUUAAUGAGGCGAACCGGGGGAACUGAAACAUCUAAGUACCCCGAGGAAAAGAAAUCAACCGAGAUUCCCCCAGUAGCGGCGAGCGAACGGGGAGCAGCCCAGAGCCUGAAUCAGUGUGUGUGUUAGUGGAAGCGUCUGGAAAGGCGCGCGAUACAGGGUGACAGCCCCGUACACAAAAAUGCACAUGCUGUGAGCUCGAUGAGUAGGGCGGGACACGUGGUAUCCUGUCUGAAUAUGGGGGGACCAUCCUCCAAGGCUAAAUACUCCUGACUGACCGAUAGUGAACCAGUACCGUGAGGGAAAGGCGAAAAGAACCCCGGCGAGGGGAGUGAAAAAGAACCUGAAACCGUGUACGUACAAGCAGUGGGAGCACGCUUAGGCGUGUGACUGCGUACCUUUUGUAUAAUGGGUCAGCGACUUAUAUUCUGUAGCAAGGUUAACCGAAUAGGGGAGCCGAAGGGAAACCGAGUCUUAACUGGGCGUUAAGUUGCAGGGUAUAGACCCGAAACCCGGUGAUCUAGCCAUGGGCAGGUUGAAGGUUGGGUAACACUAACUGGAGGACCGAACCGACUAAUGUUGAAAAAUUAGCGGAUGACUUGUGGCUGGGGGUGAAAGGCCAAUCAAACCGGGAGAUAGCUGGUUCUCCCCGAAAGCUAUUUAGGUAGCGCCUCGUGAAUUCAUCUCCGGGGGUAGAGCACUGUUUCGGCAAGGGGGUCAUCCCGACUUACCAACCCGAUGCAAACUGCGAAUACCGGAGAAUGUUAUCACGGGAGACACACGGCGGGUGCUAACGUCCGUCGUGAAGAGGGAAACAACCCAGACCGCCAGCUAAGGUCCCAAAGUCAUGGUUAAGUGGGAAACGAUGUGGGAAGGCCCAGACAGCCAGGAUGUUGGCUUAGAAGCAGCCAUCAUUUAAAGAAAGCGUAAUAGCUCACUGGUCGAGUCGGCCUGCGCGGAAGAUGUAACGGGGCUAAACCAUGCACCGAAGCUGCGGCAGCGACACUAUGUGUUGUUGGGUAGGGGAGCGUUCUGUAAGCCUGCGAAGGUGUGCUGUGAGGCAUGCUGGAGGUAUCAGAAGUGCGAAUGCUGACAUAAGUAACGAUAAAGCGGGUGAAAAGCCCGCUCGCCGGAAGACCAAGGGUUCCUGUCCAACGUUAAUCGGGGCAGGGUGAGUCGACCCCUAAGGCGAGGCCGAAAGGCGUAGUCGAUGGGAAACAGGUUAAUAUUCCUGUACUUGGUGUUACUGCGAAGGGGGGACGGAGAAGGCUAUGUUGGCCGGGCGACGGUUGUCCCGGUUUAAGCGUGUAGGCUGGUUUUCCAGGCAAAUCCGGAAAAUCAAGGUUGAGGCGUGAUGACGAGGCACUACGGUGCUGAAGCAACAAAUGCCCUGCUUCCAGGAAAAGCCUCUAAGCAUCAGGUAACAUCAAAUCGUACCCCAAACCGACACAGGUGGUCAGGUAGAGAAUACCAAGGCGCUUGAGAGAACUCGGGUGAAGGAACUAGGCAAAAUGGUGCCGUAACUUCGGGAGAAGGCACGCUGAUAUGUAGGUGAAGUCCCUCGCGGAUGGAGCUGAAAUCAGUCGAAGAUACCAGCUGGCUGCAACUGUUUAUUAAAAACACAGCACUGUGCAAACACGAAAGUGGACGUAUACGGUGUGACGCCUGCCCGGUGCCGGAAGGUUAAUUGAUGGGGUUAGCGCAAGCGAAGCUCUUGAUCGAAGCCCCGGUAAACGGCGGCCGUAACUAUAACGGUCCUAAGGUAGCGAAAUUCCUUGUCGGGUAAGUUCCGACCUGCACGAAUGGCGUAAUGAUGGCCAGGCUGUCUCCACCCGAGACUCAGUGAAAUUGAACUCGCUGUGAAGAUGCAGUGUACCCGCGGCAAGACGGAAAGACCCCGUGAACCUUUACUAUAGCUUGACACUGAACAUUGAGCCUUGAUGUGUAGGAUAGGUGGGAGGCUUGGAAGUGUGGACGCCAGUCUGCAUGGAGCCGACCUUGAAAUACCACCCUUUAAUGUUUGAUGUUCUAACGUUGACCCGUAAUCCGGGUUGCGGACAGUGUCUGGUGGGUAGUUUGACUGGGGCGGUCUCCUCCUAAAGAGUAACGGAGGAGCACGAAGGUUGGCUAAUCCUGGUCGGACAUCAGGAGGUUAGUGCAAUGGCAUAAGCCAGCUUGACUGCGAGCGUGACGGCGCGAGCAGGUGCGAAAGCAGGUCAUAGUGAUCCGGUGGUUCUGAAUGGAAGGGCCAUCGCUCAACGGAUAAAAGGUACUCCGGGGAUAACAGGCUGAUACCGCCCAAGAGUUCAUAUCGACGGCGGUGUUUGGCACCUCGAUGUCGGCUCAUCACAUCCUGGGGCUGAAGUAGGUCCCAAGGGUAUGGCUGUUCGCCAUUUAAAGUGGUACGCGAGCUGGGUUUAGAACGUCGUGAGACAGUUCGGUCCCUAUCUGCCGUGGGCGCUGGAGAAUUGAGGGGGGCUGCUCCUAGUACGAGAGGACCGGAGUGGACGCAUCACUGGUGUUCGGGUUGUCAUGCCAAUGGCACUGCCCGGUAGCUAAAUGCGGAAGAGAUAAGUGCUGAAAGCAUCUAAGCACGAAACUUGCCCCGAGAUGAGUUCUCCCUGACUCCUUGA